CGCACGUGCUUAGCGCCCGGAACGACACACCUUGUGGUUAGAGAGCAGAUUUUGAGUCGUGGGUGUUUUGCCACAGUGAAAACGCUCGGCUGAGUUCGCGUGCUGCCGUGCGGGUCCCAACACCGUCGCGCACCUGUCGGGAGCCGUGGAACACACACCGCGGGGUUUCCGUGCUGCAAACAUUACUUGACAAAACCUACCAUGACUAGUCAAGAAAAAGACCACGGAAAAAAGGAACUGCGGAGGAAGGCUUCACCCCUGCCUCUGGGGGAGGACAGACAAGCCACAGUGCCUGAGCCCGCAGCCCAGGACCUGGGAGGAAGUGGAAGGAGGCACCAGCUGGGGCUGGAGCCUGCCUGCCAGAGUGACCACCACACAUGUCCGGACGUGGCCUGCCUUGUCCACACGGGCCAGCAGGCUGCGUGCACACACACACGCCUGGGGCCACCCCCAGCAGCACGGAAAGGAGGAGGCCAGCUGAAGCAUGAGUCCAGAGAGCCUUGGGCGCCAACUCGCGUCCCCCGGGUGCUGCGGACCACACAGGACUCGGCCAGCGCAAAUCUCGUCCUUCAUGCACGAGCAGAACUUUGGGCCAGUCUGGACUUUCCUUGGAACCCCUGGCACUAGCCCCAGCACCCAGCAUGGGGGACUCUCUCCCUGGCUGUCUUUUCCUGGUCCAUUAAAGGGAGGACCCCCAGGGCCUGGGGCACACAGGCUCAUCAGCUCUGUGCUGUGUGGGUGCCAGGGGCUGGCAGGGAGAGGCCAGAGCAAGCCUAACCUGAAAUUAUUGCCCGUGUUGCCUGCGUCUCUCCCAGCCUGACCUGUUGUUGGGUGGAGUUCACGCCCUGGCAGUGACUCUCGUGUCUGCUUGGCUGGGCUGGUUGUCACCCCUGGGCUUGCCCUGCCCCCGUGGGCCACUGCUGUGGUGUGCUGUGAAAGCAGCGCCCCACCAGGGGCUGAAGUGGGGGUGCG
Molecule: long non-coding RNA, 972 nt
Filed under: Ursus maritimus (polar bear)
Lineage: Eukaryota; Metazoa; Chordata; Mammalia; Carnivora; Ursidae
Description: lncRNA (ENSUMAG00000018799.1)
Source: RNAcentral